Small nucleolar RNA from Cricetulus griseus (Chinese hamster), 136 nucleotides. Ensembl annotates it as small nucleolar RNA SNORA46. The record is from Ensembl. Lineage: Eukaryota; Metazoa; Chordata; Mammalia; Rodentia; Cricetidae.
AGCACUAUAUUUAAACCUACAGAUGGGAAUUUUCCCCAUUCUAGGUUACGCUGUAGUGCAAAAAGAAUUCCUGGCUCCUGGUUGCACAGCUGACUUAUGCCAUUUUGCUGUUGCUUUAUGGAGUUAAGGAACAUUG